GGGAUCAGUGAAAACCAAACCGCGUGAUCACCCACGACAGCGGUCCAGAGUCGCUGAGAUAACCGGAACUGCAGAUGCCGGAGAAUCCAAGAUAACACGAUGUGCAGCUGGAUGUACACAGCAGGCCAAGCAGCAUCAGAGGGUCUAGAUCCUUCGCUGAGACCAAGAUUUGUGCAAUUGAGAUACCAGCGAUCGUUGCCAAAGCCCUGUUACCUGUGGGGAAGGUGAUGUUUAACUUUCGUGUGCUGCUGCAGUUUGUAUGAUAAAGGUGCUCAAAUGGAGCAUUGUGAGAGAAGUUACAGAUCAUUCAUCUAGCGAUACCGAAGAGCUAAUGGUGAUAUUACAAGUGGACUUUCAGGUAGGAAGCUCAAUAAUUGUAACACCAAACUCUGACAGAAUUACUCAAUUCAAUCAGGACCUGGAUAUUCGCAUUGUGUAUUUCCACAAUUUUACUUCUGCACUAUUCUUAGUCUUUCAGAGGGAUCGAAAGGUUGAGUUACAGAUCUAUACGAUGACUGUCCUUCCUCGCUGGCUCCCCCACCUCUCUCUUUUGGUAGUUUUAUGCAAACACUGACUGGAUCCCUUACCUGGAGGAUAUUUAUGAAUGAAUUUGUUCUAAUGGUGAUCCAGCAUAUUCCCCAAGUAUCACUCCACACAUGCCCAGAGAAUUUCUCAGUUUCACAAUCUGUGUCCUUCUGGUUUCUCACUCGCUACACUUAACUUUCUGUUUGAAAGUAUCGUCUGCAGUUGGAGAAUUUAAACAGGUCCACAUCCAGGUCUGACGAUCACUUUGUUUAUCACAACCCAAUUAUCUCAGGAUUUUGAACAUUGAAGGAAAAAGCAGUACUCACAUUGGGGAGAAAUGCACAUGGUGUGUGUGUUGAAGAGUCUGUGAAGAUUCACCUGAAAUGUCCGAACACCAGUGCAGUGACACUGGGAGACAGAGUGUGGAAAUGUGCAGAUUGCAGGAAGAAAUUUCUUCAUCCAUCCCCGCUAGAAACUGACCACCAGAGUCACACUGGAGAGAGACCAUUGACCUGUUCUGCAUGAGGGAAAGGCUUUGCUGAUUUGAAUUCCCCGCUGAUACACCAGCGAGUUCACUCUGGGGAGAGACCUUUCAUGAGCUCUGAGUGUGGGAAGGGAUUCAUCGUCAUCCAAACUGUUAACACACCAGCGAGUUCACAGACAACCACAGUUGAAGAACUUUGCUGUCACUCUCACUAUCAAAUGAACCAUGGUUCUGGGCUGUUUGUACAGAUGUUACCGAUCCCUGCUCAAUUAAAGGUGCUGGUAUUGUGAAUAAAAUGUCACACUAACA
This is a long non-coding RNA of Stegostoma tigrinum, 1318 nucleotides long. RefSeq lists it as uncharacterized. The transcript has 4 exons. The record is from RefSeq and is a predicted model, not a curated record. Lineage: Eukaryota; Metazoa; Chordata; Chondrichthyes; Orectolobiformes; Stegostomatidae.